CACAAGAUACCAACGUUAACCACAAACCUCCAGAGAUGCUUUGCUGGCUCCUUUUCUUUUUGCGGCUUUAUCCUGAGUGUGUGGUCCUCUCUUCCUGAAGAGGCUGAAUCACCCCCCUGCUCGUGCCGAGAAGUCCUUCCUGGAUGCCAUACCACAUCUCUUCUUCAUUUGUUUUCAGAGGGAGAUGCUUGGGCCCUUUCUUUAGAGAAGUUUUCUGGCAUCUGACCCUGGUUAUGUGGGCCCAGAAGAGAAGCCCAGG
Molecule: non-coding RNA, 259 nt
Organism: Peromyscus maniculatus bairdii (prairie deer mouse)
Lineage: Eukaryota; Metazoa; Chordata; Mammalia; Rodentia; Cricetidae
Source: RefSeq, a predicted model, not a curated record